This 717-nucleotide ribosomal RNA is filed under the name Echiniscus virginicus. Its description in RNAcentral is "partial large subunit ribosomal RNA". It matches the Rfam family "Eukaryotic large subunit ribosomal RNA", at positions 34 to 637 of the family's 3401-position model. Lineage: Eukaryota; Metazoa; Tardigrada; Heterotardigrada; Echiniscoidea; Echiniscidae. The record is from RNAcentral.
UUAAGCAUAUUAAUAAGCGGAGGAAAAGAAACCAACAGGGAUAUUCUCAGUAACGGCGAGUGAAGAGAAUACAGUCCAGCGCCGAAUCGUAUUGCUCGAAAGGGUGAUACGACAUGUGGUGUGAAACAGGCGGCUGUUGAUGUUGUCGAUGCGUGUAAGUCUUCUUGAGCGGGGCUCAGUCCCAGAGAUGGUGCUAGGCCCGUAUCGCGCAUGACAAGUACAGCAACGCCCGCUUGUGGAGAGUCAGGUUGUUUGGGAACACAAUCUAAAGCCGGUGGUACACUCCAUCGAAGGCUAAAUAUGACCACGAGUCCGAUAGCGAACAAGUACCGUGAGGGAAAAUUGAAAAGCACUUUGAAGAGAGAGCGAAAUAGUGCGUGAAACCGCUUAGAGGCAAGCAGAUGGAUUCUCGAAGGUGUGCAUAGGAUUUAUUUCCUAGUUCUCACGCCACCACUGUUGUUGACGUGCACCAUGCGCUGACAUUUGGACGCUUGAGAUUGGGACUUGUGCCUGCUUGAGACGCUCGGUGUUGGACGCGUUGUGUUUCUGUGGCAUGCAAUAACAGAGCAGAGCAUUUGUCGUCGCUGUAAAGCGCCGACUGUGGCCGCUUGCUGAUGCAUUGUCGUUGUGGCGAGGCGCAAGCUUCGACAUGCGAUAUGUAUUGCAAAUCGGCUAUUAGUACCGGCAAGACGACUUUAAGACUCGGUGGCGAGUAGA